CCCUUAGAUGUUCUGGGCCGCACACGCGCUACACUGAAGGAGGCAGCGUGUACUCCUGGAUCGAAAGAUUUGGGUAACCCGCGAAUCUCCUUCGUGCUAGGGAUUGAGGUUUGCAAUUAUCCUUCAUGAACGAGGAAUUCCCAGUGAGUGCAAGUCAUAAGCUUGCGCUGACUACGUCCCUGCCCUUUGUACACACCGCCCGUCGCUACUACCGAUUGAAUGAUUUAGUGAGGACUUCGGACUGGGACCGAUGCGGCUUUCGGGCUGCGUCGGUAUUCUGGAAAGAUGUCCAAACUGUAUCAUUUAGAGGAAGUAAAAGUCGUAACA
RNAcentral lists this ribosomal RNA (327 nucleotides) under uncultured eukaryote. RNAcentral describes it as "partial 18S ribosomal RNA". It matches the Rfam family "Eukaryotic small subunit ribosomal RNA", at positions 1470 to 1796 of the family's 1831-position model. The record is from RNAcentral.